RNAcentral lists this non-coding RNA (30 nucleotides) under Homo sapiens (human). The record is from RNAcentral. Lineage: Eukaryota; Metazoa; Chordata; Mammalia; Primates; Hominidae.
UGGACCUUUAGAACCACAGAUGAUAGGACC